RNAcentral lists this ribosomal RNA (322 nucleotides) under uncultured Xanthobacteraceae bacterium. RNAcentral describes it as "bacterial SSU rRNA". It matches the Rfam family "Bacterial small subunit ribosomal RNA", at positions 126 to 482 of the family's 1533-position model. Lineage: Bacteria; Pseudomonadati; Pseudomonadota; Alphaproteobacteria; Hyphomicrobiales; Xanthobacteraceae. The record is from RNAcentral.
CUGCCCAAUGGUACGGAAUAAUUCCGGGAAACUGGGACUAAUACCGUAUGAGCCCGCAAGGGGAAAGAUUUAUCGCCAUUGGAUGAACCCGCGUCGGAUUAGCUAGUUGGUGUGGUAAAGGCGCACCAAGGCGACGAUCCGUAGCUGGUCUGAGAGGAUGAUCAGCCACACUGGGACUGAGACACGGCCCAGACUCCUACGGGAGGCAGCAGUGGGGAAUAUUGGACAAUGGGCGCAAGCCUGAUCCAGCCAUGCCGCGUGAGUGAUGAAGGCCUUAGGGUUGUAAAGCUCUUUCGCCGACGAAGAUAAUGACGGUAGUCGG